RNAcentral lists this ribosomal RNA (253 nucleotides) under uncultured bacterium. RNAcentral describes it as "partial 16S ribosomal RNA". It matches the Rfam family "Bacterial small subunit ribosomal RNA", at positions 524 to 776 of the family's 1533-position model. The record is from RNAcentral.
AACGUAGGAUCCGAGCGUUGUCCGGAAUCACUGGGUGUAAAGGGUGCGUAGGCGGGCUUGCGCGUCAAGGGUUAAAGACCUCGGCUCAACCGAGGGAAUGCCCUUGAUACGGCAGGCCUUGAGUGCGGGAGAGGAUGGGGGAAUUCGGGGUGUAGCGGUGAAAAGCGUAGAGAUCAGGAGGAACCCCGAGGGCGAAGGCAGCCAUCUGGACCGCCACUGACUCUGAGGCACGAAAGCGUGGGGAGCAAACAGG